Non-coding RNA from Labrus bergylta (ballan wrasse), 966 nucleotides. The record is from RefSeq and is a predicted model, not a curated record. NCBI's taxonomy places the organism in Eukaryota, Metazoa, Chordata, Actinopteri, Labriformes, Labridae.
ACCCCGUUCCUCCUUCCACUUCCUCUCCUCCACUGCUCAUGAUGGCGAAUAACGCUGAUGAAACUACAUCAAGUAAAGGUGCAAGAAGAUUGUGGGAAACAAGGCACAGAGGCUGUUCUGCAAGCUGAACUCUCCAGAGUGGCUCACCUAAUCUCUGCGAUGGGACGUUAAGAAGUUGCCAGGCUGCCUUGUGGACCUUCAACAUGGCUGUCACUAGAGAAUGGUCUCCAUGAUUUGUUCCCUGCUUUGGCAGCUGGAUGAUGGUGUCCUCGAUUGAGGUUCUUGUCUUUGGAACAAUUCAGAAGAUGAAUCUUCUCAUAUCGCUUGGAGAGGUGUUUGCCAAGUGCCACACUGCCAGACAAUUCAGAGCCUCUUCAUGGGAGCAAGAUGACCAAGAUUUAUCUGACAUGCAAUGCCUUUGAGGGAAUGUUCAGUGACAACUACUUGAGUUUCCACUGCAAUCUCCCUCAAAGUGUCCAGUUCCUGCCAGAGACAAGGUGUGAGGAUUCUACUUGUCUCAGUCUGGCUCAGCACACACCUGGAACUGAUGCAGUCCGGCACUGAGGACCCUGAUCCAGACCUCAGGUGUAAGGUGACCUGCUGUGGUUCUGAUGGAGAAUGAGAACAAAUCACUGAUAAGACCCUUGCUGACUAUAUUUAUAUACUUAAAAUUAGCACGUUAACAAAAAGAAGCCAAAACCCAGAAGUUUGGCUUUCCUUUCAAAAUGGACUUAAAACUUUUUUGAUUUCUUUUUCUUGCAGCAUGAAGUCAACAAUCCAUGGUUUGCAUGUGUCCAGUUGGCUCUGCUGCUUUCUAAGGAGUGUUGAGUCCAGUUGGAUCUGCCGCCUUCUAUGAUUGAAAAAUCAACUAGCUGCUAACACCACCGCUGUUCCCUGGGGGAAAGGAUCUUCUAGGGGAAACAAAUGUUUCAUUGUAAUGGAUUUCAAAUAAAGCAUCAAAUGUUA